RNAcentral lists this ribosomal RNA (512 nucleotides) under uncultured bacterium. RNAcentral describes it as "partial 16S ribosomal RNA". It matches the Rfam family "Bacterial small subunit ribosomal RNA", at positions 28 to 523 of the family's 1533-position model. The record is from RNAcentral.
GACGAACGCUGGCGGCGUGCCUAAUACAUGCAAGUCGAGCGAAUUUACGGGAGCUUGCUCUCGUAAAUUAGCGGCGGACGGGUGAGUAACACGUGGGCAACCUGCCUAUAAGACUGGGAUAACUUCGGGAAACCGGAGCUAAUACCGGAUAAUUCACAUCUACUCAUGUAGAUGUGCUGAAAGACGGUUUCGUCUGUCACUUAUAGAUGGGCCCGCGGCGCAUUAGCUAGUUGGUGAGGUAACGGCUCACCAAGGCCACGAUGCGUAGCCGACCUGAGAGGGUGAGCGGCCACACUGGGACUGAGAAACGGCCCGGACUCCUACGGGAGGCAGCAGUAGGGAAUCUUCCGCAAUGGAAGAAAGUCUGACGGAGCAACGCCGCGUGAGUGAUGAAGGUUUUCGGAUCGUAAAACUCUGUUGUUAGGGAAGAACAAGUACCAGAGUAACUGCUGGUACCUUGACGGUACCUAACCAGAAAGCCACGGCUAACUACGUGCCAGCCGCCGCGGUAA